Molecule: ribosomal RNA, 468 nt
Filed under: uncultured bacterium
Lineage: Bacteria
Description: partial 16S ribosomal RNA
Rfam family: Bacterial small subunit ribosomal RNA
Source: RNAcentral
GACGAACGCUGGCGGCGUGCUUAACACAUGCAAGUCGAACGGAAAGGCCCUGCUUUUGUGGGGUGCUCGAGUGGCGAACGGGUGAGUAACACGUGAGUAACCUGCCCUUGACUUUGGGAUAACUUCAGGAAACUGGGGCUAAUACCGGAUAGGAGCUCCUGCUGCAUGGUGGGGGUUGGAAAGUUACGGCGGUUGGGGAUGGACUCGCGGCUUAUCAGCCUGUUGGUGGGGUAGUGGCUUACUAAGGUGUUGACGGGUAGCCGGCCUGAGAGUGUGACCGGCCACAGUGGGACUGAGAUACGGCCCAGACUCCUACGGGAGGCAUCAGUGGGGAAUAGUGCACAAUGGGCGGAAUCCGGAUGCAGCAACGCCGCGUGCUGGAUGACUGCCUUCGGGUUGUAAACCGCUUUCGCCUGGGACGAAGCGUGAGUGACGGUAAUGGGUAAAGAAGCACCGGCUAACUACGUG